Molecule: ribosomal RNA, 392 nt
Filed under: Boophis narinsi
Lineage: Eukaryota; Metazoa; Chordata; Amphibia; Anura; Mantellidae
Description: partial 16S ribosomal RNA
Rfam family: Bacterial large subunit ribosomal RNA
Source: RNAcentral
AAACUGAUCUUCCCGUGAAGAAGCGGGAAUAUACAUAUAAGACGAGAAGACCCCAUGGAGCUUUAAACCCAACAGCACCUAUUCUUUUUAAAUCCACUUAUUCUUAUAGUAAGUGCUUGCUUGGUUUUAGGUUGGGGUGACCGCGGAGUAAAAAUGAACCUCCACGAAAAAAGGCAUAAAAGCCUUAUCAAAGAAUCACACUUCUAUGAAUUAGUAAACUAAUUUUUGAUGAUCCGAUAUUCGAUCAACGAACCAAGUUACCCUGGGGAUAACAGCGCAAUCCACCUCAAGAGCUCCUAUCGACAAGUGGGUUUACGACCUCGAUGUUGGAUCAGGGUACCCCAGUGGUGCAGCAGCUACUAAAGGUUCGUUUGUUCAACGAUUAAAACCCU